AGCAUAACUCUCCAUAAAUUAAUGUGAGCCCAUUAUAUCAAAGGUGUUUAUAUGUAUUAACAUAUGCAUUUAAUUUUAAUAUGUCUACUUAUGGCACAAUGUACCCCUUGUGGGGUACAGACACAGUACUUCCAAGACCGAGGCAGAAUCUGGGUAAGAUCCACGCUAGCUUGGAAGCGUCUAUAAAACUGAUAGCAAACCUAAGACAGAACUGGAUCACUUUCAAGUGUAACAUUCCAGCAAGUAAAAAAGAUUCCUCGAAGUGGCAAGUCUCGGUGCACCGCCCAUGCUUUUUGGGCUAGGAACAGAGAAGGUCAGGAACCCGAGAGCGGCCGGCGCGAGCGCCGCGGCGACUUUACCAGGGGCACCAGGCCGCCGCCGGCCCCAGCUCUCCUUCGCUCUUGCGCUGCCGGGGCCGAGGCGCUGCCCCGAGAGCGAGCGGGUUUGAGAAGGGGCGGAACUUGGGUUGGGGGUCCGCCUGAGAGACGUUUUCGGGGCCCUCCGGCGGAGCGAGCGACCUUACCAGCGGAACCUCCGGCCACGACCUGCUGAGAAGCCUCGCGCACUGAAUUUGCCCACGGUGGGUACAGUGACAGGCUGCUGUCAUCCCAAACUACCUGGAGGCUGACAUUGGGAGGAUCAUGUUUCCAGACUGCCCAGGGCACCUUUCUCAGUACCGUGGUUCUUUACCUUCCAUAUUGAUGACUGAUGGUCAGGAUGACUUCACGUGUUAUGGCUUCACUCCAGCAUCACAAAUGGAAGAGCAGCAGCAAAAGCCUUCUCUUCAUGAGGCUGUUUAUUUUGGAAAGGCAGUCCUCCACUUGACAUUCCAUUAUAGUGCAUGUCAUUAGCAGAACUAGAUUAUACACCACCUACAGUUCAGUCACUAGCAAAGAA
Non-coding RNA from Castor canadensis (American beaver), 897 nucleotides. The record is from RefSeq and is a predicted model, not a curated record. Lineage: Eukaryota; Metazoa; Chordata; Mammalia; Rodentia; Castoridae.